This 496-nucleotide ribosomal RNA is filed under the name uncultured bacterium. RNAcentral's name for it is "partial 16S ribosomal RNA". It matches the Rfam family "Bacterial small subunit ribosomal RNA", at positions 28 to 506 of the family's 1533-position model. The record is from RNAcentral.
GAUGAACGCUGGCGGCGUGCCUAAUACAUGCAAGUCGAGCGAACGGACGAGAAGCUUGCUUCUCUGAUGUUAGCGGCGGACGGGUGAGUAACACGUGGAUAACCUACCUAUAAGACUGGGAUAACUUCGGGAAACCGGAGCUAAUACCGGAUAAUAUUUUGAACCGCAUGGUUCAAAAGUGAAAGACGGUCUUGCUGUCACUUAUAGAUGGAUCCGCGCUGCAUUAGCUAGUUGGUAAGGUAACGGCUUACCAAGGCAACGAUGCAUAGCCGACCUGAGAGGGUGAUCGGCCACACUGGAACUGAGACACGAUCCAGACUCCUACGGGAGGCAGCAGUAGGGAAUCUUCCGCAAUGGGCGAAAGCCUGACGGAGCAACGCCGCGUGAGUGAUGAAGGUCUUCGGAUCGUAAAACUCUGUUAUUAGGGAAGAACAUAUGUGUAAGUAACUGUGCACAUCUUGACGGUACCUAAUCAGAAAGCCACGGCUAACUACGU